Molecule: ribosomal RNA, 487 nt
Filed under: uncultured Promicromonosporaceae bacterium
Lineage: Bacteria; Bacillati; Actinomycetota; Actinomycetes; Micrococcales; Promicromonosporaceae
Description: bacterial SSU rRNA
Rfam family: Bacterial small subunit ribosomal RNA
Source: RNAcentral
GUAGUUGACUCCGUGGCUACGAGGACGACGCUGGCGGCGUGCUUAACACAUGCAAGUCGAACGGUGAAGCCCAGCUUGCUGGGUGGAUCAGUGGCGAACGGGUGAGUAACACGUGAGCAACCUGCCCUUCACUUCGGGAUAAGCCUUGGAAACGGGGUCUAAUACCGGAUAUGAGCGCUCAUCGCAUGGUGGGUGUUGGAAAGUUUUUCGGUGAGGGAUGGGCUCGCGGCCUAUCAGCUUGUUGGUGGGGUAACGGCCUACCAAGGCGUCGACGGGUAGCCGGCCUGAGAGGGCGACCGGCCACACUGGGACUGAGACACGGCCCAGACUCCUACGGGAGGCAGCAGUGGGGAAUAUUGCACAAUGGGCGAAAGCCUGAUGCAGCGACGCCGCGUGAGGGAUGACGGCCUUCGGGUUGUAAACCUCUUUCAGCAGGGAAGAAGCGCAAGUGACGGUACCUGCAGAAGAAGCGCCGGCUAACUACGUG